Molecule: ribosomal RNA, 793 nt
Filed under: uncultured Nitrososphaerota archaeon
Lineage: Archaea; Thermoproteati; Nitrososphaerota
Description: bacterial SSU rRNA
Rfam family: Archaeal small subunit ribosomal RNA
Source: RNAcentral
ACGGCUCAGUAACACGUAGUUAAUCUAACCUAUGGAUGGGCAUAACCUCGGGAAACUGAGAAUAAUACCCAAUAGACCACAGUGCCUGGAAUGGCCUGUGGUUCAAAUGAUUUAUCGCCGUAGGAUGGGACUGCGGCCUAUCAGCUAGUUGGUGAGGUAAUGGCCCACCAAGGCUAUAACAGGUACGGGCUCUGAGAGGAGGGGCCCGGAGAUGGGUACUGAGACACGGACCCAGGCCCUAUGGGGCGCAGCAGGCGAGAAACCUUUGCAAUGUGCGAAAGCACGACAAGGUUAAUCCGAGUGUCUCCCGCUAAGGGAGUCUUUUGUCAGUUCUAGAACCACUGGUGAAUAAGGGGUGGGCAAGUUCUGGUGUCAGCCGCCGCGGUAAAACCAGCACCUCGAGUGGUCAGGAGGUUUAUUGGGCCUAAAGCAUCCGUAGCCGGUUGCAUAAGUUUUCGGUUAAAUCUAUGCGCUUAACGUAUAGGCCGCCGAAAAUACUGUGCAGCUAGGGAGUGGGAGAGGUACACGGUACUCGAUAGGAAGGGGUAAAAUCCUUUGAUCUAUCGAUGACCACCUGUGGCGAAGGCGGUGUACCAGAACACGUUCGACGGUGAGGGAUGAAAGCUGGGGGAGCAAACCGGAUUAGAUACCCGGGUAGUCCCAGCUGUAAACGAUGCAGACUCGGUGAUGCAUUGGCUUGUGGCCAAUGCAGUGCCGCAGGGAAGCCGUUAAGUCUGCCGCCUGGGAAGUGCGUACGCAAGUAUGAAACUUAAAGGAAUUGGCGGGGGAGCAC